UACGGGGGGAGCAAGCGUUGUUCGGAUUUACUGGGCGUAAAGGGCGCGUAGGCGGCCGUUUGCGUCGGAUGUGAAAGCCCGGGGCUCAACCUCGGAACGGCAUUCGAUACGGGACGGCUGGAGACCGGGAGAGGAGAGUGGAAUAGCCAGUGUAGAGGUGAAAUUCGUAGAUAUUGGCUGGAACACCGGUGGCGAAAGCGGCUCUCUGGCCCGGUUCUGACGCUGAGGCGCGAAAGCGUGGGGAGCGAACAGG
This 253-nucleotide ribosomal RNA is filed under the name uncultured bacterium. Its description in RNAcentral is "partial 16S ribosomal RNA". It matches the Rfam family "Bacterial small subunit ribosomal RNA", at positions 524 to 776 of the family's 1533-position model. The record is from RNAcentral.